AGGGAGCUUGCUCCGCUGACGAGUGGCGAACGGGUGAGUAAUAUAUCGGAACGUACCCAAGAGUGGGGGAUAACGUAGCGAAAGUUACGCUAAUACCGCAUACGAUCCAAGGAUGAAAGCAGGGGACCUUCGGGCCUUGUGCUCCUGGAGCGGCCGAUAUCUGAUUAGCUAGUUGGUGAGGUAAAGGCUCACCAAGGCGACGAUCAGUAGCUGGUCCGAGAGGACGACCAGCCACACUGGAACUGAGACACGGUCCAGACUCCUACGGGAGGCAGCAGUGGGGAAUUUUGGACAAUGGGCGCAAGCCUGAUCCAGCAAUGCCGCGUGAGUGAAGAAGGCCUUCGGGUUGUAAAGCUCUUUUGUCAGGGAAGAAACGGCUGUGGCUAAUAUCCACGGCUAAUGACGGUACCUGAAGAAUAAGCACCGGCUAACUACGUGCCAGCAGCCGCGGUAAUACGUAGGGUGCAAGCGUUAAUCGGAAUUACUGGGCGUAAAGCGUGCGCAGGCGGUUUUGUAAGUCUGUCGUGAAAUCCCCGGGCUCAACCUGGGAAUUGCGAUGGAGACUGCAAGGCUAGAAUCUGGCAGAGGGGGGUAGAAUUCCACGUGUAGCAGUGAAAUGCGUAGAGAUGUGGAGGAACACCGAUGGCGAAGGCAGCCCCCUGGGUCAAGAUUGACGCUCAUGCACGAAAGCGUGGGGAGCAAACAGGAUUAGAUACCCUGGUAGUCCACGCCCUAAACGAUGUCUACUAGUUGUCGGGUUUUAAUUAACUUGGUAACGCAGCUAACGCGUGAAGUAGA
This 798-nucleotide ribosomal RNA is filed under the name uncultured bacterium. Its description in RNAcentral is "bacterial SSU rRNA". It matches the Rfam family "Bacterial small subunit ribosomal RNA", at positions 73 to 868 of the family's 1533-position model. The record is from RNAcentral.